RNAcentral lists this ribosomal RNA (394 nucleotides) under uncultured bacterium. RNAcentral's name for it is "partial 16S ribosomal RNA". It matches the Rfam family "Bacterial small subunit ribosomal RNA", at positions 338 to 729 of the family's 1533-position model. The record is from RNAcentral.
CCUACGGGAGACAGCAGUGAGGAAUAUUGGUCAAUGGACGGGAGUCUGAACCAGCCAAGUAGCGUGAAGGAUGACUGCCCUAUGGGUUGUAAACUUCUUUUAUAUGGGAAUAAAAUGUUCCACGUGUGGGAGUUUGUAUGUACCAUAUGAAUAAGAACCGGCUAAUUCCGUGCCAGCAGCCGCGGUAAUACGGGGGGUCCGAGCGUUAUCCGGAUUUAUUGGGUUUAAGGGGAGCGUGGGUGGAAUGUGAGUCCAGUGGUGAAAGCUUGCGGCUGAAGCGGGGAAUUGCAGUUGAAACUGGCUGGCUUGAGUGCGGUAGAGGUGGGAGGAAUUCGUGGUGUAGCGGUGAAAUGCUUAGAUAUCACGAAGAACACCGAUUGCGAAGGCAGCUCAC